UUUGGAAUCCCCAAGAUGGAUUAAAUUAGAUUUUUUUACAGUUAUACAUAUCAAAAUUCAUAUAAGUAUUUUACAGGUGAUAGAAUAUCUUAUAGACAACAUCCAUGAUCCUUUUUCUACACUACAUUUGGCAAUUAUAAAAAAUUCUUCAAGUGAUGCACUAAGUGCCACAAAACCAGAAGUUAAGAUGAGUAAUUACUUGGAUUACAUAGAUUACACUUAAGAAUGGUAUUUGGAUCCUAAGCCCAACUUGCAGCAUUUGGCAAACUCACCUAAUCAGUUUUUUAUGCUAGAGAGCUUCCUUAAUUUCAACCAAUUUUCUUCACUUUGAUUAAUAGGCGAAAACCUAGAAGACAUGCAUCAAGAGAGAUAAUAUGUUUAUCCAAAAUAUCAAACACUCUACAUGUUUAGUAUAAUGAUUUCUCAAAGAAUUAGAAAAGCAUUAAAAAGAAACACACCCUCAAGCAUUGCAAGAUUGAGUGUAGGGAUUUGAGUACCUUCAAAAACGCAGUAAUUGAGGAAUUACUUUGUUAUUUUCUACAUUAUCACGUCUACAUUUGUUCCAACAAGUCAGCCAACCCAUCAAAACACCAUGUCCUGCCUAGAAUCCACAAAAACAAUGAUGGUUAAGGUCCUUUGAAUGCAAUGAAGGCUUUUAUAUAACCGUCGAAAUUUCAUAAAUGUGUAGUCAUUAACAUCACUCCAACUCAACAUGCCCCGUUCCUUUACCCAAUUUAAAGUACAAACAUCUAUACUGUUCAAAUUUUCAAUAUCACUCCUAUAGAGAGAAAAAGGAAAUAGUGCACAAGCCUUACAACAGUAAAAGAAUCAUCCAAGAUUGACAAGAUGGAAUUAAACAUAUAUCUCAAUUAUUUCACUAAGUGAAACAAUAUUUAAAACAAAAAUCAUCUUGAAACCUUUUUCAAGAAAUAAUGAUUAAAAUCAUAAGGUAACAUAGGAAAAUAAAUAAUAAAAGAUGAUACUUUACAUAACAAGUAUUGAGGUUAUAUAUGAUAUUGGAGUCAUCUAUUUUGUGCAAUAAUUUUGUAACUUGGAGACUAUCCUGUACGACAGAUGCCUAAAAAAUUUCUAUGGAGGCAGUACUUCUAUAUCCUUCUGUUUUGAAAUCCAAAAUCCUCAAAAGGUUAGAACUUGAAACUUUCAGCUUUAAGGUCUUAAGUUUGAGUUUUAGGAAUGAGCUUUUGAAAAUUGAGGAAGCAGAUUCCCAGCUCUUUUAAUAGGAAAAAUAUUAAAUUGAAUCUGUUCAAGUAUAUAUGUGUAUAUAUAACAAAAAGAAAAAAACAAGAAAAAAAAACAAAGAAACCAGAUAUGUAACUUCAAGUUGAAUAUAUUCAACAAAUCAAAAUACAUAUGAAUUGGGCUACACAACAUGAUAACAUUUGAUCUCUUACUUUACUAGUUAUAUUAAAUGACUAGCAUCAAAAUGAAAGGCAGAAUUAGAAACAAAUAGUCACUCAGAUAGAAGAUCAUUUGGCUGAUUCAAAUAGAAAGUCCUUGAAUUUCUUAAUUCCACCUUUCUCAAUUCAUCCCACUUCCACAUUUUUAAACAUAAGUAAAUAGCUUCACAGCCAAAACUACUUCCUCUAUAUUUAGAAAUAAAACAAAAAGCAAGCAACUUAUUAUAGAAUUUCACCAAAAGAUUAUGGAAAAAACUUAUCAUUUCAAGUGUAGUUAAACUAUCAAAUCACUUCCUAUUCGAAGUCCUAUUACCAAUAGAUUUGGAAUUCAGAAAACAAGAGCAAGUAGCUUAUUAUAGAAUUUCACCAAAAGCAAUGUGGCCAACCUCAUCAUUUUUUUAAUGCCAGUGGAAUUUAUAUCAUUUUACUAUUUAAUUUAAAAUUAGAAUUUACCUGUCAGGUGACUGUUCCAAUAAUUGCAAUCACCAGGAAUUCCUUCCAUCUUCUUAAGAACUGCAAAAGGUUUGCAAGCAAAAGCCAAAGAUUAGAUUUCAAUAUUUUAGAAGGAAGAAUAGUGCGCCUUACAAGCUACAUAGUUGCUACAAUUUCAUUUUGUUAAGAUUUGUAUAAUUCCCUCCUGCUGCAAAAAAUUUGCUUUACUCUCAAUUUAUAGAAGCAAAAUACAGAACUUCCAUUCUACUAAUAGAAAAUGGUCAAAAUAACAAAAUUAGGUCUAAUUUAGAAACUCUAAAUUAAAAGACUACAAGCCAAAAGAAAAUUUUCAGUGGCACAUACAAGUCAUAAUCUCUGAUUUACUGGAGUCUUCUCUUAAAAAAGUACAUAUUGCAAAUUUAAGAAUACCACAGUACAUCCACGCAAUUAGCAUAAUGAACUAAAUAAAAAAAUUCAAAAUAACAAAAAGGCCAUAAGCGUAGUAGACAAGAACUUUAUUCAAGAAUCAUAUCAAGAUAUACGAACAAGACAAAAGUAAAAUAAAAUGACAACUAAACCAUUAAUGAAAACCCCGGAUUCAAAAGAAAAGAGAAAAUAAAUUACAGCAGAUCUAGAGAUUAAAGAAAAACACAAAAAUAGAAAGCCAAUAAGAAAAUUGAAAAGAAAGAAAGAAAAGAAGCAAAACCAACCAAAGACAAUGUGGAUUGAAGCUAAGCAAACACACCAAAAAGAUAGCUUCUCAAUGUGAAGAGCAGCUAAAAUAGAAUAACAAGGUUUGUAUAUUUGUGAAAAACAGAUUUCUUUGUGAAAAACCAAAGAUAGGGUUUUGGGUUAUAAAUUAAGACUGAGAAAGAAAUAAGAUACAUUGUGGGAAAUGAUAUCGAAGAAUAAAA
RNAcentral lists this long non-coding RNA (2764 nucleotides) under Gossypium barbadense (sea-island cotton). RNAcentral describes it as "long non-coding RNA (GBAR_LNC002064)". The record is from RNAcentral. Lineage: Eukaryota; Viridiplantae; Streptophyta; Magnoliopsida; Malvales; Malvaceae.